This is a long non-coding RNA of Mytilus californianus (California mussel), 1833 nucleotides long. RefSeq lists it as uncharacterized. The transcript is spliced from 4 exons. The record is from RefSeq and is a predicted model, not a curated record. NCBI's taxonomy places the organism in Eukaryota, Metazoa, Mollusca, Bivalvia, Mytilida, Mytilidae.
CAUUAUUCUCUAUGAUUCUUUAUUCUAUAUUUCUGCUUUUUUUUGCUAUCUGUUCUUUAUUUUGCACUUUAUGUCAUUAUUUUCUAUUCUUAAACCCCCAUCUUGAUUCCAGACCCUCAAAUAUACGUAAAUGUACGAAAGCUUGCAUGGUACGUCGAACACGAAAACCCGGAAAUCUUUUCACCGUUACCGUUUUUUAUACUAUGACGCAAAAUCCAUGGACUCUCACGCGACCAUCUGCUGCUGUCUUUUUAAAAGUUUUUAAGAAUGGACAGAGAUAGAUGAUACAAGGAACUUUGGUUUUUCAAACUGGCGAAUCAAAAAUUUAUUAUAAACAGAUAAAUUGAAAUGGGUGACUUGUCGAUUAACUGGAAGAAACCGGGGAACGAAAUAUAGAAAAUUUAUGAAACGAAAGUCAACGCAACGAAAGUCAAAGUGUUUUUGUUUUGAUGGAUAAUUUUACGUACCCUAAAAGCGCAACGAAAGCAUUUUCAAUGAAAGUACAUUUUGUACAUGUACUUCAAGAAGUAGAAGAAUCUAAGCAACAGAACAGAAUUCAUUUGAGGCAUUGCUUUCUAGAUUAUAUAAUGGAUUCAUAGAUUGUCAUAUUGAUUUAUGUGCAUAAAAGGAGCAGUAGUCAAUGAAUAAUUUUGUGAUGAGAGCUUAUUACCAUGGUUGCCAAAUUAAAGGAAAGUGCAGUAUUAGAAUCACUGGUGUACAUGUAGAUGCGGAUGUCCGGCAAAAAGAACUGGUAUCAAAGAACUGAAAAGUAAAGAAACAGAACCAAAGAACAUUAAUUUUGGAUUAAUACAAUAUUGAACUCAAAGUCAAUUUAGUUAUCUUUCUUAAUCAUACAGGAUAUUUCCAAAAAAGCGGCUGCAUACACAUGCACCAGUAAUAGCCAGCAGUUGAGACAAUUAAAUAUCUGUGUAUGGUGAUAUAGCAAUAGAAAUAUCACAUACAUCAUAGGGAAAUAGAAAUGGAGUAUGUCAAAGAGACACACAUAUGAAAAAAGAAUAUAGACAGUAGAAAUGGAGUAUGUCAAAGAGACACACAUAUGAAAAUAGAAUAUAGACAAUAAAAUUGGGGUAUGUCAAAGAGACUAACAUGAAAAUAGAAUAUAGACAAUAGAAAUAGGGUAUAUCAAAGAGACAAACAUAUGAAAAUAGAACGUAGACAAUAGAAUUUGGGUAUGACAAAGAGACAAAAAUAUUAAAAAUAGAAUACAGACAAAAGAAAUGGGGUAUGCCAAAGAGACAAACAUAUGAAAAUAGAAUAUAGACAAUAGAAAUGGGGCAUGUCAAAGAGAGAAACAUAUGAAAAUAGAAUAUAGACAAUAGAAAUGGUGGAUGUCGAAGAGACAAACAAAACAAAAUAAAAUAUACUAGACAAUAGAAAUGUGGUAUGUCAAAGAGACAAAAAUAUGAAAAUAGAAGAGACAACAAGUUAAUAAAAAAAGAAUUCUACUUGAUAUAAAAAUUAUGGAGCACUGUUAUUUUUCUGCAUAAAGGAAUGCCUGUAUACAGUUGUUUUUUAUUUGUUUGAGCUUUUGAUUUUGCCAUGUAUUUUCUGUGGAGUUUGGUAUUUUGGGUUAUUUACUUUUUAAAGCAACAACUCACCACACUGAAGUAUUUACACUCAAAAUGAGUUCCUGACAGAAAAAAAAAAAUAACGAAGAAAAACAUAUUAAAGCAUCAAAACAUAACUUUAAAAAACCUACCGCAAAAAAAAAAAAUACAUAUAUAUACAAACCAUGUUUAGAAUCUAUGAGAAAAUAAAUGCAUUUGAACAAUUAAAAACAUAUAAAAAAUAUAUAUUUAGGACCAAGAUUAA